GUGCCAGCAGCCGCGGUAAUACGUAGGUGGCAAGCGUUAUCCGGAAUUAUUGGGCGUAAAGCGCGCGUAGGCGGUUUUUUAAGUCUGAUGUGAAAGCCCACGGCUCAACCGUGGAGGGUCAUUGGAAACUGGAAAACUUGAGUGCAGAAGAGGAAAGUGGAAUUCCAUGUGUAGCGGUGAAAUGCGCAGAGAUAUGGAGGAACAACAGUGGCGAAGGCGACUUUCUGGUCUGUAACUGACGCUGAUGUGCGAAAGCGUGGGGCUCAAACAGGAUUAGAUAC
This 281-nucleotide ribosomal RNA is filed under the name uncultured Staphylococcus sp. RNAcentral's name for it is "partial 16S ribosomal RNA". It matches the Rfam family "Bacterial small subunit ribosomal RNA", at positions 505 to 785 of the family's 1533-position model. The record is from RNAcentral. Lineage: Bacteria; Bacillati; Bacillota; Bacilli; Caryophanales; Staphylococcaceae.